This 1131-nucleotide long non-coding RNA is filed under the name Piliocolobus tephrosceles (Ugandan red Colobus). Its description in RNAcentral is "lncRNA (ENSPTEG00000006831.1)". Lineage: Eukaryota; Metazoa; Chordata; Mammalia; Primates; Cercopithecidae. The record is from RNAcentral.
UUGACAAAACAUGAACAUUAACAAUAAAAAUAGCGAAAUGAACAACAUGAAUGUUGUUAAUCAAGUUGUUGAAAAAGAGUAUAGCAAUAGCCUUAGAAACAAUUUUGAAGCGAGCGAAACCAAACAAACGGUUCAAACGUAUAAACACAUACAUAACAAUAUAGUGAAAAGUAUGUAUGAUCAUGUGGGAACAAACCAAACAGCUGCCGCAGUUGAUAAUAAUAACCAUUUUCAUGAUGUAUAUGGUAGUAAAGCUAGUAGUCACAAUUACAGUAGAGAUAACUACAUAAAAAACAAUAUUAAUACAUUUUCCAGGAUAAAAAAAAAACAAUUUCAAAACAAAAAAUUAAUAGCAAACCAUAACAACUAUGUUAAUAAUCACAACAACAACAAAACAAUGAAUAAUAUUUACCAGUAUCCUUGUAACAGUAAUAACAAUUAUAAAUUGUUUAAUACAAAGAACGAAACAAAGAGUAAUGAUAUUACAAGUCAAUAUGAAACAUUCAGAUUAAGUAGUAAACAUUUUAACAGGGGAGGGCUUAUACUACCUGAUAGAAAUAAUACACACGAACGUCCAACUUACACAAAUAAUUAUAAUGUUGAAAUAUUGAAAGAUCAAGAAUCAAAAAUAAGCAAAGAAUGUAGUGAAGUUUCAUCUGAAAAUAGCCUAGAAAAAAAUAGUGAUACGACAAAACAAAACAGUACAAUUAAAAAAAAUAUAAAAACAACUUAUAAAAAUAAAAAAUAUAACGACUUUAUCGAUCGUGAAAAAAUAAUAAAGAAUACACUUGAUUUUAUUUCAUCUAGUCGUACAUUAGAUGGUAAGAAGAGAUUUUGUUACUCCUCUUCUGAUGAAGAACUAGAAGAAGAAUGUCAGAAGGAGCAGUUAACAGUUGGAAACAGUAUCUUAUGUAACGUAUGUAAUGAAAAAAAUUAUAAAUAUACAUGUCCAUAUUGUGAAAAAAAAUAUUGUUCAUUAAUAUGCUCAAAAAAACACAAAACAAUAUUUAAUUGUAAAAAUAAAUUAAAAAAAAAAAUAAAAAUAAAAAAUGUGAACAAAGCAAAUUACGACGAAGAUACAUUAUAUCAUGAUUUUACAUUAUUAAAUAACGUCGAAAAGGUAGUAGAACG